Molecule: ribosomal RNA, 321 nt
Filed under: Candidula unifasciata
Lineage: Eukaryota; Metazoa; Mollusca; Gastropoda; Stylommatophora; Geomitridae
Description: partial 16S ribosomal RNA
Source: RNAcentral
GGCUUAUAAUUGAAGUCUGGCAUGAAAGAAACUACGGGUAAUUACUGUCUCCCUUGGUCAUCUUGAAUUUCCUUAAAGGGUGAAAAUGCCCUUUGAUAAAUAAUAGACGAGAAGACCCUAGAAAUUUUUUAUACCAUAAGAUAAUCUUAUUUCUAUUUUGUUGGGGCGACAGAAUAACAUUUAACUUAUUUUAUUUAAUAUGAACUAUAUAUUGAGCAAAAAUAAAUUACUCUAGGGAUAACAGCAUAAUUUGAUAAAGUUUGUGACCUCGAUGUUGGACUAGGGAUUUCAUUAACCAGCAGUUAAUGAAACAGGCUCUGU